This 254-nucleotide ribosomal RNA is filed under the name uncultured bacterium. Its description in RNAcentral is "partial 16S ribosomal RNA". It matches the Rfam family "Bacterial small subunit ribosomal RNA", at positions 524 to 776 of the family's 1533-position model. The record is from RNAcentral.
UACGUAGGGGGCAAGCGUUGUCCGGAAUCAUUGGGCGUAAAGCGCGUGUAGGCGGUCCGGUAAGUCGGUUGUGAAAGUCCAGGGCUCAACCCUGGGAUGCCGAUCGAUACUGCCGGACUAGAGUCCGGAAGAGGCGAGUGGAAUUCCCGGUGUAGCGGUGAAAUGCGCAGAUAUCAGGAGGAACACCGGUGGUGAAGACGGUCUCCUGGGCCGAGGGCCGACGCUGAGGCGCGAGAGCGUGGGGAGCGAACCGG